Long non-coding RNA from Camelus dromedarius (Arabian camel), 2391 nucleotides. RefSeq lists it as uncharacterized. The transcript is spliced from 2 exons. NCBI's taxonomy places the organism in Eukaryota, Metazoa, Chordata, Mammalia, Artiodactyla, Camelidae. The record is from RefSeq and is a predicted model, not a curated record.
AGUAGGGAUUCCAACCCAACUCUGGCUCCAGACCCGACGCAGUUUCCAUGCUAUCAGCCUGCCUUCCGUGAAGAACAAGUGAGGUAGGCAGUCUGGACAACUUAAGAAGAGGAUGUGGCACCUCCCAUGAGGCAGGCCUUCGGGGGACCCUCCCAGCAGGGCCCCAGACCCAUUCCCCAGGAAGGGCAGCCAAGGCCAUGAAGGCAGGUGGCGCAAGGGGAAGCUGGUUGCUUCAGCCUGGAGUCUCUCCACUUCCCCAGUCCUCGGUGAUUUCCCAACACUCAUGAGUUUCACAUCUGCCAUCUCUGGCUGGAGGGUUCCAGAAGUUCCGGGGGCAGGGCUAGUUGGUGUCCAAGAAGGGCUCAGGACUCCAGGAAGAUCUGAUGACCCUGUGCAAGCCAGCUCACUUGGCCCAGCCACAGGCUCCACACCUAUGAAGUGGGCAGUCAGGAGCGUAGCCUCAGGGGAUAGCACACAGCAGAGGGGAUGCCACAUCGAGGAAGGCUGGGGCCAACUCACAAUGAUCCGCCAAAGAGCAUCAGUCUUGGCUUCAGGCAUGAAGCAGAGCAGGAGUGGGGAGCAGGCUGCACUCUCCAAGGGCGAGCUGUGGGCCCAGGAAGCGCACACGUGCCACUGAGGGGGAGAGACUUGCGACCAGCAAGCCCAGCAGCCCAGCGUGGAUCCCGUCCGUGACAGCUCUCGGCACAUUCAAUCCUCACAGAAGCCCUAGGAGCAGGUAGAUGGCAAUGCUCCCAUUCUAUAGACGCUGAGACCAGAAUUCCCUUGCCCGAGUUCCUACAGCUCGUCAGCAUGGAGCAGGAGUAUGCCGACGCAGGGCCAGGUGGAUUUCCGUCUGCUCUGCCGUUAUGACUUGUCCCUUCGGUCUCGGCAAGUCACUUUGCCCUUGACUUUCAGUCUGGACGUUCCUGCCUCACCUGUGGCCUUGGCGUGUGCGGCCUCCACACGACUUCUGAUGUUGGCUGCAUUAUCUGCCUUGAUGAUAUCAGUGCCCUGACCUCCAGUUUAUAUCUGACCUCCCAGAUUUUUCACCCAGACAGAGUGCAUCAUCCAAUACAGUGUCCUGGGAGAGGCGCCUUGUUUGGGCUCCUUCCUGUGCUGUCAGAGCUUCCUCCCCAGGGGCAUGUUCCUGGAACAGACAAUGGGCACCUUACAAGGAGUGGGUUAGGGGUCUGAGGAAAAGAAGAUGCAUCUAGAACACAUAAUUUAUCUAUCUUAACCCUUCCGUGAGACCUCGAGGGUUUGGAGAAAAGAAAUAUUUGAAUCUUAUGUGUGUAAUAUCAUGGGAUCCUUAUGACUGCUUUUUGUGACAAGGAAAUAGAGGCAAAUAUACCCAUUUUACAGAUUGCAGAGAAAAAACAAAUGCCUGUCCAAGGCCUCGCAGAUAAUCAGGGGUAGAAUGUGGGAUCUGAAACCAAACCUGGUGGACGCUCAGACUCUUUCCACUGAGAAAUAUUGUUUCUAAGGAAGGAAAUUUCAGUAAGUGAAUAAUCAGUCUUUUUUACCCAGAACCAAUAUUUAUUAGGCUACGAAAGAAAGGGUAUUUUGUCUCCCAAAGUAAUGAUUCUUGGUUUGCAUACAUUUUCCUCUCCCGCAGGUAGGGAGGCACCUGCUUCGGGUGACGGGCCCAGCUGGGUCAGGCUGAGCAAGGCUGCCAGGUGGGAGUGGCCGAGGAGAAAAGGAAACUAAGGGGGGAAUAUGGCAAUAUGACCGUCCCUCGUUCACUCCAGCCUGGGGCCCUGAAGAAGCCUGCCUCUCUCUGUUGUGGAAACCCUUGGCUUCUCCAGAUCUGGUUCUCAAAGCUGUCCUUCUGUAUAUACAAAUAUGCAAAUGUACCCUGCUAGUAAGUUACCCUGUUGCUCAGGUAGCAUAGAGUUGGAUUCUGCUGCUCACAACAUGCCUUAGUCCAUUCAGGUUUAUAUAAUGAAACACCACAGGCUGGGUGGCUUACAAACAAUAGAAGUUUGCUUUUCACGGUUCUGGAGGCUGGAAGUCGAAGAUCAAGGUACCAGCAUGACUGGGUUCUGGUGAGAGCCCUCUUCCCAGCACACAGCCAGCACCUUCUCACAAUGUCCUCACGUGGUAGAAAGGACGAGGGAGCUCCCUGGGGUCUGUUUCGUCAGGGCACUAAUCCCACUCACAGGGGCUCCAUCCCACGACCAAAGCCCUUCCUAAAGGCCCCGCCUCCUAAUACCGUCACACACACACAUAGGGUUUCAACAUAUCAGCUUUGGGGGGACACACACAUUCUGACCAUAGCACAACAAAAAAUCCACAGGUCUUCCAGGAUACAUGUUCCAUUCUUCUUCAAUUUACAAAAAAAAAAAAAAAAGAAAGUCAAAAGGAAGGCAAGGGGUGGCCUGGAGUAAGGAA